Molecule: ribosomal RNA, 397 nt
Filed under: uncultured bacterium
Lineage: Bacteria
Description: partial 16S ribosomal RNA
Rfam family: Bacterial small subunit ribosomal RNA
Source: RNAcentral
AUACGUAGGUGACAAGCGUUAUCCGGAUUUACUGGGCGUAAAGGGCGUGUAGGCGGUCUUGCAAGUCAGAAGUGAAAUUCCUGAGCUCAACUCGGGCGCUGCUUCUGAAACUGCAGGACUUGAGUGCUGGAGGGGAUAGCGGAAUUCCUAGGGGAGCGGUAAAAUGCGCAGAUAUUAGUAAGAACACCCGUGGCGAAGGCGGCUAUCAGGGCAAUACCUAGCGUUGAGGCGCGCAAACGUGGGGAGAAAACAGGAUUUGAUACCCUGGUAGUCACCGCCGUAAACGAAGAAUACUAGGUGUAGGGAGUAUCGACUCCCUCUGUGCCGCAGUUAACACAAUAAGUAUUCCGCCUGGGGAGUACCGCCGCACGGUGGAAACUCAAAGGAAUUGACGGGG